UUAAUAGUUUGCUUUGUAUCCCAGCACAGAUCAGCACAACACGCAACAGCUGUCAGAAACGGUGCUUUGAAAGGGGAGGGGCGCAUGUCUCCAGGGCAGCCGAGUUCAAAACAACGAGCGGAGCGGUCACUUGAGGCAUUAUGGGCCAGCUCUGGAGGCCAAUUACAGCGCAGAAAGCAAUCAAGUGUCUACACUGGCAAUAAAGCGCUGGAGCCUCUGCGCAAAUAGCCUUACGACUCUCGUCAAGGUGGGUGUUUUGCAUGGCUGCAACUGAGGAGUUUCUGCGCACAAAGUGGCGUGGCAGCAUGUACACAGCUGCAGUUUGAGCGCAGAAAGCUGCUUCAGUGUAGACAAGCCCUGAGUUGCCAACCUCCAGCAGCAGAGAGUCUGUCCCAAAGGGGGGCUGCCAUACUGCAAGACACCCACAAUUCUCAAUCUAAUAGAGGAUACCAAGUUGAUGAGUGCACCUCAGAAAGUGGGUGGCAGGGACAGCAUCCAUGAGGUGAGCAUCUUUCACUGGAACACUGGAUAUUCCCAAGAAGUGCAACAGGGAAAACAAUGCUUGCUCUCCUCAGGGAAUGAAUCGACCCUGGGGAACAGCUGCCUCUGGUGAUACAAGAGAGUCAGAUUGCACUCCACUUCACCAAUGAAUCAAGUCCUAGGUCUUUGCUGAGAUUUUCAACAACAAAUACAAAAUUCAACCAUAUAUUUUUUUAAAUGAGACGACAUCAUUACAUAAACACUGCCCACUGGCGUGGGUAUUUUAGUGUAUGAUGGGACAGCAGGAGCCAGCACAUAAAUCUGAUGGCCAGGGUCAGUGCUUAAGCAGAGAUUACUUCUAAGCUUCACUUACAUGUUCUAUUUUGGCCCAGCAAAUUACAGUGUACUUUUGGAAAAGCAAAUGGACUCCAUUCACUCUUGCUGGCACAGAAGGGGGAGCAAGAUGGGACUUCCUGAGCCAGCAGAGGCCACUGCACAAGGAGGGGAAUUCAGUUCCAGAUGCAGACAGGCACUCCACCCUCCCUUAGGGGUUCCACUAGGGCAAUUAAGUCACAUUUGAAGCUUCAUAGAAGCCCAGCUGAUAGAGGACACAUUGACUCACUCAGUCUCCUGGGUCCCUGGCCUGCCCCUGGCCCUCACUCAGUCUCAGACACUCACUGGGACCCUGGUCCUCACUCAGUCUCCUGACACCCUACCCACCCAAUGCCGUACUAUUCCAUGGCCUUUCAGAGAAGGGGGAGGUCCAACCAACUUGUACCACAACAGCUUUGUCCUAACCCAUGGUCUACGCGGGCUUCUGCUGGAAUAACCAGGGCUAAAUAUCCUUUUAAUACAGUAGAUUGCAUACAGUAGAUUGCUGUAGCAAGAUCCAACUCUCUUUACUUUCUCUCACCUCCCCCAGUGUGAUGAUUUGUUUACUGAAGAAUCCUAACUGUGUGCAGUAAGAGAGAAAUGACCAAAUUAUGUGAAAAUCUACCCUCAUGGUUCGAAAUAUCCCACUGCCAAACUAUAGUCCAACAGCUUAGAUUCAAGAGAAAAAAAAUGUAGGGCUAAAUUUUCAUAGGGGCCUCAACCUAGCAAGUAAAACUGUACCUGUAAGUUUACAUUCCCAAAUCUUUUACAUGGACAAAAGCUGCAGAUGCAAUUUUAGAAGACACUUUCUAAUAUCUGUCCCAUAAAUUACUAACAAAAACAUAAAGCUAAUAUAGACUAAUAGAAGAUCCCACUCUGAUCAUACACUAUGAGCCUGACCUUCUGUAUAACACAGGCCAUAGGAUUUCCCAGAAUUAAUUAACAAAGUCUUGUUUGUAAAAUCAGAAUAAUGUUAUUAACAAGUUAUCAUAAUGUUGUUACUGUAGGAAUGAGAUUUUACCUUAAUAUACAGAACUGAUUAUGGUUAGGAGCAUGAAAACACUGUGAUAUGGGUUUAAUUGUAUUCCUUUUAAGAUGUUCAUUAACUUGUAAUUAUUAUAUAGGCAACAUACAGUAUUUAAAAUAUUUCUGUUAAAGAUCACAAAAUCAUUUUACUGACAGACAGCCACUCAGUAAAAUUAGGAAGUUAUAUUUGUACUCAGUAGACACUGAAAAUUCUAUUAAAUCUAUCAUCUAGGAAAACAUAAUGGUGUUAAUACCCAAUACAUAUGUAUAUUGUUAUUAUCUUUGUUUGCCAUUGGCAAAAGAAGAUAAUAUAACUUGUUUAUGCAGUGGAAUCGUAUUGUUGAUAAUUUAAAAAGACAAUGGGAUUUUACCAGUUGGACAGCAUCACAGUUGACCAUAAUUCAGAGAUGACUAUUAACCAGGUUAUCUGAAAAUAUCUGAAAAGGAGGUAUUUAGGGCCUGAUGCAAAGCCCACUGAGGUCACUGGAAAGAUUCUCAAGCUCUUAUCAAAUAGAAAAUGACUUAACAUAGUCAAAAUCACAAGCAUAUGUUAAUAUUUUCCUUUUGGGCAAUGGACAUGUAACACAAGAAGCAUUCCUUCUAUGCCAGUGGAUUCCAGACUAUUUUCCUCAAAGUGCAGAAGAUAACGUUUGUCAUGAAAUCACCUAUUAGACUAUUCAUCAAAGAAGGAGCAUGAACAUAUUUACUUCCUUUUCUUCACCAUGGGCUGAUGGACACCUGGAUGGAAAACUGGAGAGAACCAAGUCUAAAGAAGGGCCCCCUUUAAGACUAUGCCAUGUGGUAACACCAGCAAGACUUUCCUACGUGGGCAGACAUUAAUGAUCUCUUUGUCACACAGAAGUCUGUGGUGUUAAAAAUACCAUUAUAAUACCACUUUAAACUGAAGCUUCUUAUUUCUUGAAAUGAUAUACUCCAACCAUGAACCAUAACCAGAGCUGGGGCUUGCAUGUUUGAACAACAUACUGGUGCCACUGAUAACUAAUCCAACAGACAGCUGUAUGUUCUUAUCUCAAAGACUGACCAAUAUUCCUCUGAAAGAACUAACCAUUGCUUAGAAAGGGUGUCUCUUACUGUAAAAAAAUUAUAGUUUAUGAUUAGCACUUCCAGUAUGUCAGUUAUCAGGUUUUGUUAAGACUAAUGAGAACUUGAAAACUCAGUAUAUUAUCAAGAAAUUCAUUGUUUUCCCGAGUAACUUCACUAAUCAUUGUAUAAAGACAUAACUAAAAGCAGCCAUGUGUGUAAAGUGACUUGAAGCUAGAAAAUGCUUAAAUAUCACAUGAGAUUGAUAUUGUCCUUCAACACUGUGGGCAUAAUUAUUCUGUGGUUUGCAAAGGCAAAAGCAAAGUGCUCCACACAUCACCUAAAGCCUGUACAGGAACUGUGUUGAAGGGUGACAGUCACCUAAUGGUCACAGAGUGCGGGGCUGGAUUUCUCCAAUUGACUUCAAUAGGCUUUGGAUCAGGCACACAGAGCCUUGAAGAUGGAGUAUAUUUUACCCAGAAAAAACACAUUACUGAAGAUAAGGGAGACCCCAUAUGGGGAAGGCAGAGGAGCAAGAGCUACACAGAUUGGAACAGAAAUUGCUGAGGAGCUGCCCAGAACCUGCUGGAUGUUGAGAGGAGAUCAUCCUGGGACAAAGCAAGGGUCAGCUCCUGCUCCCAUGCAGUCUGCAGGGAUUGCGACAUUGACUUCAACAGCAGGAGAACUGAGCUCUGAGCUAACAUUGAUAAUAUUGCACAAGUAGUGAUUGCAUGGAAACUUUCUCCCUUUAAAUUUUCCAUGGAUGGUAGCUUGCUAUGUAUUCUUUUAAGUGCUAUGUGCUAUGAACAUUUUCACAUUUCCUUGUAAGAUAUUUAGGAUCUGUCAUAAAAAAAUCGAAAAGACACAAAUAUUCUAACACUUUAAAAAUAUUGUUUGAAAAGGGUUUUCACAGAGUUAAGAAACUGAAGAAUUCCGCGAUUCACAAGUACAGGUACUUUAGUGAAAAUGCCAGUUCCUGUGAUCCUGCAAUGCCAGCCAUGUUGUAGUAUUGCGUAGUGUUAACCAAAAAUAUUUGCUAGAUCUUUUACAGGCAUUGGAAAGCAUUAUCUUAUUAUUAUUAAUUAUUAUUGUUGUUGUUUAUUGUUUAUUAUUAAAGUUGUUAUUAUAA
This is a long non-coding RNA of Chelonia mydas (Green sea turtle), 4048 nucleotides long. RefSeq lists it as uncharacterized. NCBI's taxonomy places the organism in Eukaryota, Metazoa, Chordata, Testudines, Cheloniidae. The transcript has 3 exons. The record is from RefSeq and is a predicted model, not a curated record.